UACGUAGGGGGCUAGCGUUGUCCGGAAUCAUUGGGCGUAAAGAGCGUGUAGGCGGUCCGGUAAGUCCGCUGUGAAAGUCGGGGGCUCAACCCUCGAAUGCCGGUGGAUACUGUCGGGCUAGAGUGCGGAAGAGGCGAGUGGAAUUCCUGGUGUAGCGGUGAAAUGCGCAGAUAUCUGGAGGAACACCGGUGGCGAAGGCGGCAUCCUGGACCGACACUGACGCUGAGGAGCGAAAGCCAGGGGAGCAAACGGG
Molecule: ribosomal RNA, 253 nt
Filed under: uncultured bacterium
Lineage: Bacteria
Description: partial 16S ribosomal RNA
Rfam family: Bacterial small subunit ribosomal RNA
Source: RNAcentral